CCUACGGGUGGCAGCAGUGGGGGAUAUUGCACAAUGGGGGAAACCCUGAUGCAGCGACGCCGCGUGUGGGAAGACGGUCCUCUGGAUUGUAAACCACUGUCCCCAGGGACGAAGAUGACGGUACCUGGGGAGGAAGCUCCGGCUAACUACGUGCCAGCAGCCGCGGUAAUACGUAGGGAGCGAGCGUUGUCCGGAAUUACUGGGUGUAAAGGGAGCGUAGGCGGGACUGCAAGUUGGGUGUCAAAUCUACCGGCUCAACCGGUAGCCGCACUCAAAACUGCAGUUCUUGAGUGAAGUAGAGGCAGGCGGAAUUCCUAGUGUAGCGGGGGAAUGCGUAGAUAUUAGGAGGAACACCAGUGGCGAAGGCGGCCUACUGGGCUUUUACUGACGCUGAGGCUCGAAAGUGUGGGGAGCAAACAGGAUUAGAUACCCGAGUAGUC
This 440-nucleotide ribosomal RNA is filed under the name uncultured bacterium. Its description in RNAcentral is "partial 16S ribosomal RNA". It matches the Rfam family "Bacterial small subunit ribosomal RNA", at positions 338 to 795 of the family's 1533-position model. The record is from RNAcentral.